UUUGUGGCGGUCACAGCCCAGGAGAAACGCCCGGCACCAUCCCGAACCCGGAAGCUAAGCCCUGGCACGGCAAUGAUACUCCACCCGACAGGGUGCGGGAAAGUAGCACACCGCCACCAC
This 120-nucleotide ribosomal RNA is filed under the name Scardovia wiggsiae. Lineage: Bacteria; Bacillati; Actinomycetota; Actinomycetes; Bifidobacteriales; Bifidobacteriaceae. The record is from RNAcentral.